GAAAGUAGGAAAGGGCAUACGGUGGAUGCCUAGGCUCUUACAGGCGAUGAAGGACGUGAUAAGCUGCGAUAAGCUUCGGGGAGGUGCAAAUAACCCUUGAUCCGGAGAUUUCCGAAUGGGACAACCCAGUAUUUUGAAGAAAUACUAUCCGACCAAUGUCGGAGGCGAACGCAGGGAACUGAAACAUCUUAGUACCUGCAGGAAGAGAAAAUAAACAAUGAUUCCCCUAGUAGUGGCGAGCGAACGGGGAAGAGCCCAAACCACUGUUGUUACGGCAAGAGUGGGGUAGUAGGACCGCGACAUCGGACGAAAGUUUGUGAGAAGAAGCCUCUGGAAAGAGGCACCGUAGAGAGUGAUAGUCUUGUAUUCGAAGCAAACCGAACCGUAGCGGUAUCCUGAGUAGCGCGGAGCACGAGGAAUUCUGUGUGAAUCAGCCGGGACCAUCCGGUAAGGCUAAAUACUCGUAAGAGACCGAUAGUGAACCAGUACUGUGAAGGAAAGGUGAAAAGCACCCCGAACAGGGGAGUGAAAUAGUUCCUGAAACCGUAUGCCUACAAGCGGUCGGAGCUCAGCAAUGAGUGACGGCGUGCCUUUUGCAUAAUGAACCUACGAGUUACCGUCGUUGGCAAGGUUAAGGGUAAUGAUGCCCCGAGCCGGAGCGAAAGCGAGUCUGAAUAGGGCGAUGAGUCAUCGGCGGUAGACGCGAAACCGAGUGAUCUACACUUGUCCAGGAUGAAGUCCCGGUAACACGGGAUGGAGGUCCGAACCAAUAAGCGUUGAAAAGCUUCUGGAUGAGGUGAGUGUAGGAGUGAAAGGCCAAUCAAACUCGGAGAUAGCUCGUACUCCCCGAAAGGCAUUUAGGUGCCGCCUCGGACGUUCCCGAUGUGAGGUAGAGCGACUGAUUGGAUGCGAGGGCUUCACCGCCUAUCAAGUCCUGAUAAACUCCGAAUGCGCAUCGGCCAAGUCCGGGAGUAAGGGCAUGGGUGCUAAGGUCCGUGCCCGAGAGGAGAAGAAUCCAGACCAUCGGCUAAGGUCCCGAAAUACUGGUUAAGUUAGACUAACGAAGUCCGGCCCCCAAGACAGCUAGGAUGUUGGCUUGGAAGCAGCCAUUCAUUCAAAGAGUGCGUAACAGCUCACUAGUCGAGGAGCUGGGCGUGGAUAAUAAUCGGGUAUAAAACCAGUUACCGAAGCCAUGGGAUACGUUAAGUAUCGGUAGGGGAGCAUUCCAUUCAGCGUCGAAGGCGCACCGUGAGGUGUUCUGGAGCGUAUGGAAAAGCAAAUGUAGGUAUAAGUAACGAUAAGGGGGGUGAGAUGCCCCCCCGCCGCAAGACCAAGGUUUCCUGAACAACGCUAAUCGGUUCAGGGUUAGUCGGGUCCUAAGCAUAAUCCGAAAGGUGAGGGCGAUGGCAGAAACGGUUAAUAUUCCGUUACUACCGAAUCGCGUGAUGCGGGGACGGAGAAGUGACACGGCCGCCGUCUGACGGAAUAGACGGUUGAAGGGCGUAGGUUAUGAGGAAGGCAGUCAAGUACACCUUCCGAGCUGAAACCUGAUAGUACGGAGCGUUCUUCGGAACAAUCCGAUAGUGCCGGUAACCAUGCUCCCGAGAAAAUCCGCUAAACAAUAACGGUUCGGUACCCGUACUGUAAACGGACACACGUGGUCGGGUUGAAUAUACUAAGGCGCUUGGGUGAAUCACGGUUAAGGAACUAGGCAAAUUGACCCCGUACCUUCGGAAUAAGGGGUCCUCGGUAAGACGAGGCGCAGAGAAUAGGUCCAGGCAACUGUUUAACAAAAACACAGGGCUGUGCGAAUUCGAAAGACGAAGUAUACAGCCUGACACCUGCCCGGUGCUGGAAGGUUAAGAGGAGAGCUCAGAGCAAUCGAAGGCUUGAAUUGAAGCCCCAGUAAACGGCGGCCGUAACUAUAACGGUCCUAAGGUAGCGAAAUUCCUUGUCGGGUAAGUUC
RNAcentral lists this ribosomal RNA (1966 nucleotides) under human gut metagenome. RNAcentral describes it as "bacterial LSU rRNA". It matches the Rfam family "Bacterial large subunit ribosomal RNA", at positions 1 to 1983 of the family's 2925-position model. The record is from RNAcentral.